GCUAAUUUUUUGAGAAGGACCUGUAUGGCUAUUACUGUUGUUGUUGUUGUUGUUGUUAUUAUUACUAUUAGGGAUGUCAAAUUUUAACUUAAAAAUUUAUUAAUCAUUAUCCUCAAUGCUGCUAAAUGCUUCUAUUUCAUCGGCACGCAGUCACCAGCAUGACAGGAUGUGCAAUAACCACUCUCAAAUGUUUUCUCACCCGAAAUAAAGGGGUUUUAGUCUUAAUAAAAAGCUAUUAGCAAAAUAAAAAAAAUACUGUCUAUUUAAACUGACCAGUGAUUUUGGUUGACUAUUUUAUUUUGAUAAUGAAUAGACUGCAAGGAAUUUUGGAGUAAGAUAUAAUCCGCAAAAGUGUUUGCUUUUAUUUUUGCACACUCACAAUAAAAACAAAAGAUGUGUGGUUUUGUGAAAUAAAGCAAACAAACAGUCAUCCUUUCCUUUCCAUGAGCUUGUUUGACCAGAACAAAGUAAGUGUAGGCUAUGUGGGCUUGAACGGCAUCCAAAAGCAUGGUCGCAAUGUAACAUUUUCUAGCUAACCAAUUAUUCCUCUAAUAAAAAAAGCUUUCAUACCACACUUGUCAUAAUCAGAGCUUAUAUUUUGUAAAUUAAUUAUUGCUGGAUUCAAAACCGCAAUUAAAGGGCGCGGUUAUCGACACUGAGAACACUUUUUUUCCCCGGAGCAUUCAAUAAUGUCACUAAACAGUGAGGCCACAACUAAGAACAUCAUUCACAAGUUUCUGCAUAGACCUAACUAGCCUAGGGCACAGGUUUUCCAAGCCCUGGGACAAAAUGGUAUGCUUUAAGGAAAAUGUACAGCCUAGGGCUAAUUGAUUUUUGGUAUUGUGAAAUCCCUACCUGCCAAGCCAGUAGCUGUAUUUAACCAUCUGCCAAUCUCACAGAAAAUUCACAGAUAUGUCUAAAAAUUAAGUAUUGUUACAUUUGGUUUAUCUCUUGUACAUUGUGCACUUUCUUAUCAUUCUAGUUAUAUAAUCCUGCAUAAUGUUCCUGUUAAUUUAUGAAAAUAUGAUGUUUGUGAUGGUGUCAGUGGAGAGACCAACAGCCACUGUGGCCAAUCAGAAGCAAGUUGUACUAACUGCAGAGGGAAAUGAAUCCCAGCUCCACCUCUCUGGGCGUCUAAUGGGGUGGAAGGAUAGAGUUGUGGGUAGGGUGAGGGUGUGGGUGGAUAUUCUGCCUCCACCCAUUAGGCACAAAUUAUAGUUGCUCCUCCUCACUGGACGUCUAGCGAG
Molecule: long non-coding RNA, 1247 nt
Organism: Cyprinus carpio (common carp)
Lineage: Eukaryota; Metazoa; Chordata; Actinopteri; Cypriniformes; Cyprinidae
Source: Ensembl